CGCGGUAAUUUGACCGUGCGAAGGUAGCAUAGUCAGUAGUCUUUUAAUUGAAGGCUUGAAUGAAAGGUUGGACGAGGGAUAAGCUGUCUCCUGUGGUGUGACUUGAAUUUAACUUUUAAGUGAAAAGGCUUGAAUUGUUUAGUGGGACGAUAAGACCCUAUAAAACUUGAUAUAAGUUUUGCUUGAUUUGUGAUUUGUAGUGAAAAGUGGUUUUGUUUAAUUUAUAUUUCGUUGGGGAGAUGUAGAUAUAAUAUGUAACUGUCUAUUUAAUUUAAUAGUUAUAACUAGUAUUUGAUCCUUCUUUGUGGAUUAAGAGAGUAAGUUACUUUAGGGAUAACAGCGUGAUUUUCUUUGAGAGUUCUUAUCGACAAGAGUAGUUGCGACCUCGAUGUUGAAUUAAAGUUUCAGCUAGGUGUAGCCGUUUAGCUGGUGGGUCUGUUCG
This 442-nucleotide ribosomal RNA is filed under the name Macrobrachium cf. esculentum TJP-2011. Its description in RNAcentral is "partial 16S ribosomal RNA". It matches the Rfam family "Bacterial large subunit ribosomal RNA", at positions 1932 to 2583 of the family's 2925-position model. The record is from RNAcentral. Lineage: Eukaryota; Metazoa; Arthropoda; Malacostraca; Decapoda; Palaemonidae.